Molecule: small RNA, 143 nt
Filed under: Arabidopsis thaliana (thale cress)
Lineage: Eukaryota; Viridiplantae; Streptophyta; Magnoliopsida; Brassicales; Brassicaceae
Description: ATSL149590
Source: RNAcentral
GUUUUCCGUGAAGAGGCCUGCGAUGAUCUUGGAGGAGAAUUCUGUGAACCUGACUUUCAAAAAGAUGCCAACUAGAAGAAACAAGAUUUUAUGUCAUGUGAAUAUGUGUUUGUAUUUCUACAAGUCUUUGUAACCACUCCUUA